Molecule: transfer RNA, 86 nt
Filed under: Cytophagia bacterium
Lineage: Bacteria; Pseudomonadati; Bacteroidota; Cytophagia
Also listed under: 2 other names
Description: tRNA-Ser
Rfam family: tRNA
About the family: Transfer RNA (tRNA) molecules are approximately 80 nucleotides in length. Their secondary structure includes four short double-helical elements and three loops (D, anti-codon, and T loops).
Source: RNAcentral
GGAGAGUUCGCAUAAUGGUAUUGCAGCGGAUUGCUAAUCCGCCGGGCAAAUUUUCGCCUGUGAGGGUUCGAAUCCCUUGCUCUCCG